UGGUACUUCCCUGGUGUGGUUGUUUGCCUAGUGCUGUUUGAGCAAACAGCUGGGUGAACUAGCUGUCUCUGCGUGCAGGUGGCAAGAUAUGCUGUUUGGUGGUGGACUGCUGGUUGGUAGGCCUACUGAUAUAGGCUGCUUGCUGACCUGCUGCAGGUGUUUGACCAGCUUGUGUGGGCAAACAGCUUGGUAUGCUGCUGGUUGGCCCACUAGUGUUGUUUGUGUGAUGCCCAAACAUGCUGUCAUGCAGUGGGACAGCAGAAAAUGCAAAGGUUUUGUCCAUUUUGUGCAGCAACAAGAAGUUUUGAGAAGAAGAAGAGUUGUUAUGGGAAGGGCAUAAUAGAAUAUUGAAUAAAGAUGAAGAAAGUACUGCCCUGUUUAGGAUUUCUUCUUUGUUGCUUUUGCUGCCUUGGGUGUUUGCCCAGUCAGUUUGGGCAAACAGGCUGGUAGAACAGGUGGAAUUUCUGCAGCAUUCUGUGUGAAGGUUUGUUGUUUGCCCAGCCGUGUGGACAAACAAGCUGGUCGAACAGGUAGCUUGCUGUGUGGGCAGACAGUGUGCCAACUUUUUCUGAGUUAUCUCUGCUGUUUGCCCAGCUUGUGUGGGCAAACAGGUUGGUCAUCUAGCUUUUACCUGCAAAAUAGCUAAAACCUGGAAAUGGGUUAUGGUACUGAUUUUUGCACUCCUG
This 686-nucleotide long non-coding RNA is filed under the name Manihot esculenta (cassava). Its description in RNAcentral is "long non-coding RNA (MESC_LNC002222)". The record is from RNAcentral. Lineage: Eukaryota; Viridiplantae; Streptophyta; Magnoliopsida; Malpighiales; Euphorbiaceae.